GAUACAUCCUGUCGGUCCCGCUUGGCAGUUCUCAAUCAGAAGCUUACUGAACUGGAGAGGCAGGUUGAAUACAUCGAGGCGCGGAUUGCGAAUAAUGAGUAUGGGCAGCUGAAUGAUCAACAAAUAGAUGAAAUUGAGUUAAGCUCAGAAAAUCUAGUAUGAUCCAAUCUGUAGGUCGAACAAUUGUGAGCCGUAGCACCAUGAUAACCAAAGGGGAAACACUGUCAUGAGCAGAGACUGGGACCAGGUGACUUGGUGGCCUCUACUGUGGGAGUUGAUGUCCUGUCUUCUGUACACCAAGGAACUCAAGGCUCAAUAUUAUGAUCAGUGCAACUGUGUAUAUUAUAGAUGGAACUUUUCCCUCAUAGUGAGGACUUUUUUAAAAACCGCACACAAGAGAAACUGACAUUCUACUCAAACUUACCAUGUUGACUCUGCUUUUAUAUGCUGUGCAUGACAUAUCCACCUACAAGUUCUUGGUGGAAAGGCAGAAAAAUAGUUGGGUUUUUUUUGUUGGGGGGGGGGGGGGGGUGUUUGCCUAUACUGCUUUAUUAUCAAAUUAAUUUCUUACUGGACUGCCUGUGGUCCUUCAUCUUGGAGUGUAACCUUAGGUUAAGUUUCUUAUUGCCAGAGCCAUAUUUCGAUUUGAACAGCUGGCGGCUGGUAGGUGUUCUGACUGUCUUGUUAUCAUCUAUUUCUUUCAAUAUUACUAUUUUCUGUAGGCCUAUCUGUGCCUAGCAAAAUAAGGCUAUUACACGCUGACUCUCAGAAGAAGAUGAUACAACAUUUGGUUUUUAAUUGCUUUCACAUUCAUUUCCCUUGGCCCCUUUUUUGAUAGUUGCAUGCGCACACAUUGGCUAGUUCUUAAGUAGAUCUGUCACUAUAGAUUUCUUUCUUCUGCAUUUUCUCUUCUGUUGUGACUUAAUCAAUAUCAGUCUCCAGAAGCACAAACGCCUACUGAAUGGUCCUUGAGCAUUUGGUGCUCUGUACUUCAGUAGAAUGGGAAUUUCCAGCAUAUAAUGAGGGAGUGCCAUUCGUAUUGCAAAGUUAUGUGUAGGUCCUAGAGAUCCAAGUGCUAAUAAAAGGGUGCAAAAAAAAGUUAGAUAUGUGUUCCUCAGCUUUAACACUGUGUAGGUAUUUAUUUCCCUGCAAGGGUUGAGAGUGUGACAGCAGAAAAAAUAUUUAUGGAAUUUUGCUUUGGGUAACAAUACUUGAUAUGUUGCUUCAUUUUCCUACAAAACCAUUUUUCCUUUUUGUUUGCCGUUUUCUGUUUUCAAGACCCUCGUUUUACAUGGUUUUGUUAAAUCUGGUUUGCAGAAUGUGUAUCUUUACCAAUAUUUAUGGGGGUCUUUUUUUUUCUUCUUUUUUUUAUAUGAUUUGAAAAUGGUGUGUCAUUGAUGGACAUGAGUGUACUUGAAUUUUUCAAUUUAGUGACAUAGAUAUAAUAUAAAGUUUAAAACCUGUUGCGAUGUUAUAGCAUGCUCACUGCUUUGUCCAUGGAACACAUAUUUUUGGUCCUUGUGUACAGAUGCUGGCGUGAGCUGCUCGGGAACACAACACUCUCAGAUGUGUAUGUGCAUUAACUCAUGCAGGUGUGUUGGGACCAUGGAAGAAUCCAGAACUUUGAGAGAAUGCUGGCAGGAAUAGGUUUACUGAGGAGAGAGAGAAGCACAUUCUUUGGGAGAGAAUGGGGAAAAUAUAUUCCUGGGUAAAAGUUUUUCUGUUUUGUAUGAAUGAAAAUCGGUUUAGAGUCUUGGUCUGAAAGAUUUUCUUCCUUGUCUUUGCUGAAUGUGUUAUCAUCAUCAUCCGACUAAUAACAGAAAUAUUUUUGGAGUGAAAAGACCGGAGUUGAAAUGUGUGUAGGAUAAGAUGUCUGUGUAAAAUAGUCCGGUGAGUGGCAAUUGUGUAUAACAGGUUUAUGUUUGCUUGUUGUAUGAAAUAACAGGACGAUUGUUUGAGUGUUUGGUGAAGUUUGAAAGCUGUGCAAGGCCUUUUUGAGUGCGUGGUGUAGUGACUGAGGUUUGUUUAAAGUGCCUGGAAGUCUUUGGGGUGAUGUGAUGAGUGCUGUUUGAAAGGAAGGUGAGGGUCAGAUGCUUUGCUCUUGUUCUGUGCUUUGCACCAGAAUGUGAUACCGUCUCAUAAAAGGGGCUGUGGGCGGCCUUUGUUCCCAUUGCAACUCCAUGUGUGGCAUGCUUCAUGCUUAAGCGUGAAUAUGGCUGUUUGGAAAAUGAAUGCCCCUGGCUUCAUCUGCAGUCUUGAAGUUGAAGCCCAUAUAAUCACUCACCAGUGAAGGACUAUGUCCAACCCAGCACCAUGCACAUAUAUGGGUACACCUUUUUUUUGAGAGUUAAGUUGUCUGGCAUUCACGCCUGAUGGAUAUAUGUGUAUGUUUAUGGACAUUUAUUGUAAUUGAAGUUGAAGUGUACACGAUUUCAAGCUGUUGUUGUUUUGUACACAUGUAUUAUUUAAGAACUCAAAAGUAUGCAAGGCUGUAUUGCAUGCACAGCAAUUUUCUGAAGUGAAUGAGUUUUUUGCAAAUAAAACAUUCUUCCUAGUGAAGAUUCAAGUCAUUUAUUUACUGUAUGUUAAGUUGACUGAAUGUUUGAUUACUCCACUUAGAGUCAUGGGCAGUGAAGCAUUAAAUUUGUACUUCACGUCCA
This 2660-nucleotide unclassified non-coding RNA is filed under the name Aplysia californica (California sea hare). Its description in RNAcentral is "probable protein BRICK1-B, transcript variant X3". The record is from RNAcentral. Lineage: Eukaryota; Metazoa; Mollusca; Gastropoda; Aplysiida; Aplysiidae.